GAAACGGUGGCUAAUACCGCAUAACGUCGCAAGACCAAAGAGGGGGACCUUCGGGCCUCUUGCCAUCAGAUGUGCCCAGAUGGGAUUAGCUUGUUGGUGAGGUAACGGCUCACCAAGGCGACGAUCCCUAGCUGGUCUGAGAGGAUGACCAGCCACACUGGAACUGAGACACGGUCCAGACUCCUACGGGAGGCAGCAGUGGGGAAUAUUGCACAAUGGGCGCAAGCCUGAUGCAGCCAUGCCGCGUGUAUGAAGAAGGCCUUCGGGUUGUAAAGUACUUUCAGCGGGGAGGAAGGUGUUGUGGUUAAUAACCGCAGCAAUUGACGUUACCCGCAGAAGAAGCACCGGCUAACUCCGUGCCAGCAGCCGCGGUAAUACGGAGGGUGCAAGCGUUAAUCGGAAUUACUGGGCGUAAAGCGCACGCAGGCGGUCUGUCAAGUCGGAUGUGAAAUCCCCGGGCUCAACCUGGGAACUGCAUUCGAAACUGGCAGGCUUGAGUCUUGUAGAGGGGGGUAGAAUUCCAGGUGUAGCGGUGAAAUGCGUAGAGAUCUGGAGGAAUACCGGUGGCGAAGGCGGCCCCCUGGACAAAGACUGACGCUCAGGUGCGAAAGCGUGGGGAGCAAACAGGAUUAGAUACCCUGGUAGUCCACGCCGUAAACGAUGUCUACUUGGAGGUUGUGCCCUUGAGGCGUGGCUUCCGGAGCUAACGCGUUAAGUAGACCGCCUGGGGAGUACGGCCGCAAGGUUAAAACUCAAAUGAAUUGACGGGGGCCCGCACAAGCGGUGGAGCAUGUGGUUUAAUUCGAUGCAACGCGAAGAACCUUACCUGGUCUUGACAUCCACAGAACUUUCCAGAGAUGGAUUGGUGCCUUCGGGAACUGUGAGACAGGUGCUGCAUGGCUGUCGUCAGCUCGUGUUGUGAAAUGUUGGGUUAAGUCCCGCAACGAGCGCAACCCUUAUCCUUUGUUGCCAGCGGUCCGGCCGGGAACUCAAAGGAGACUGCCAGUGAUAAACUGGAGGAAGGUGGGGAUGACGUCAAGUCAUCAUGGCCCUUACGACCAGGGCUACACACGUGCUACAAUGGCGCAUACAAAGAGAAGCGACCUCGCGAGAGCAAGCGGACCUCAUAAAGUGCGUCGUAGUCCGGAUUGGAGUCUGCAACUCGACUCCAUGAAGUCGGAAUCGCUAGUAAUCGUGGAUCAGAAUGCCACGGUGAAUACGUUCCCGGGCCUUGUACACACCGCCCGUCACACCAUGGGAGUGGGUUGCAAAAGAAGUAGGUAGCUUAACCUUCGGGAGGGCGCUUACCACUUUGUGAUUCAUGACUGGGGUGAAGUCGUAACAAGGUAACCGUAGGGGAACCUGC
RNAcentral lists this ribosomal RNA (1366 nucleotides) under Salmonella enterica subsp. enterica serovar Rubislaw. RNAcentral's name for it is "bacterial SSU rRNA". It matches the Rfam family "Bacterial small subunit ribosomal RNA", at positions 153 to 1515 of the family's 1533-position model. The record is from RNAcentral. Lineage: Bacteria; Pseudomonadati; Pseudomonadota; Gammaproteobacteria; Enterobacterales; Enterobacteriaceae.